UUAUUCAACCGAAAAAACCGUUUUAGAAUAGAAUAAUAAAUAAAUUAUAAAUAUGCAAGUAUUAAGUUGAGGGUAUAAGGUAGUAUGAAGUUUUUCCAAUGAAAGCAUGAUACCAAGCAAGUACAAUUCCUCAUCAGUACACAAAAAGUUAAAAGAAAUAUCUGACAAGAAUAGGAAGAAUAUCAAAUGAAUUAUCAUAAAUCCAACUAAAAAAUAAACAUAGUACUCGGAUAAAUAAAUUUGAUAACAUUAUUAAUAACAAAGUUGGUAGUGGACUAGUGCUAGAAAGGCUUCACCAAAUGAAGGUGCAUACAGGCUUUAAGAGACAAUAGACUCGGAUUUGUGCAGUAGCAUUUUGGAUGAGUUGUUUUGAAGACCAUUUGGUAAAACUAAGCUUUGAAUAGGUACAAUACAGGCUUCACCAAAUGCUCAUAACACCCAGAAAGACAGUUUCUCAAGAUACAUAAAUAAGUGCACAUCCUCUGAAAAUAAUCAUCUGAAUCAGUAUAAGGCAGGAAAAAAUGACCAUAAGUCUCUUUACCCAAGUCAAAAUAAACAACCAUAUCUGAACUCAACAAUUUGACAAAUUAAAACAACAGCAGCCCAACAAUUUAGCAAAUUAUCAACUUAACGAAUUCAAGAACAGAAAAUCACAACAAAAACAAAAAAAAAUUAAAAGUAACAGAAGAACACAAGAACAAUUUGCAAAUUAACAAGUUCACAGUAACAGUUAAAAUUUACC
Molecule: non-coding RNA, 742 nt
Organism: Arachis ipaensis
Lineage: Eukaryota; Viridiplantae; Streptophyta; Magnoliopsida; Fabales; Fabaceae
Source: RefSeq, a predicted model, not a curated record